This 639-nucleotide ribosomal RNA is filed under the name Bacillus pumilus. RNAcentral describes it as "bacterial SSU rRNA". It matches the Rfam family "Bacterial small subunit ribosomal RNA", at positions 601 to 1238 of the family's 1533-position model. Lineage: Bacteria; Bacillati; Bacillota; Bacilli; Caryophanales; Bacillaceae. The record is from RNAcentral.
CCCCCGGCUUAACCGGGGAGGGUCAUUGGAAACUGGGAAACUUUGAGUGCAGAAAGAGGAGAGUGGAAUUCCACGUGUAGCGGUGAAAUGCGUAGAGAUGUGGAGGAACACCAGUGGCGAAGGCGACUCUCUGGUCUGUAACUGACGCUGAGGAGCGAAAGCGUGGGGAGCGAACAGGAUUAGAUACCCUGGUAGUCCACGCCGUAAACGAUGAGUGCUAAGUGUUAGGGGGUUUCCGCCCCUUAGUGCUGCAGCUAACGCAUUAAGCACUCCGCCUGGGGAGUACGGUCGCAAGACUGAAACUCAAAGGAAUUGACGGGGGCCCGCACAAGCGGUGGAGCAUGUGGUUUAAUUCGAAGCAACGCGAAGAACCUUACCAGGUCUUGACAUCCUCUGACAACCCUAGAGAUAGGGCUUUCCCUUCGGGGACAGAGUGACAGGUGGUGCAUGGUUGUCGUCAGCUCGUGUCGUGAGAUGUUGGGUUAAGUCCCGCAACGAGCGCAACCCUUGAUCUUAGUUGCCAGCAUUCAGUUGGGCACUCUAAGGUGACUGCCGGUGACAAACCGGAGGAAGGUGGGGAUGACGUCAAAUCAUCAUGCCCCUUAUGACCUGGGCUACACACGUGCUACAAUGGACAGA